RNAcentral lists this ribosomal RNA (269 nucleotides) under Enterobacter hormaechei. Its description in RNAcentral is "partial 16S ribosomal RNA". It matches the Rfam family "Bacterial small subunit ribosomal RNA", at positions 800 to 1068 of the family's 1533-position model. Lineage: Bacteria; Pseudomonadati; Pseudomonadota; Gammaproteobacteria; Enterobacterales; Enterobacteriaceae. The record is from RNAcentral.
ACGUUAUCGAUGUCGACUUGGAGGUUGUGCCCUUGAGGCGUGGCUUCCGGAGCUAACGCGUUAAGUCGACCGCCUGGGGAGUACGGCCGCAAGGUUAAAACUCAAAUGAAUUGACGGGGGCCCGCACAAGCGGUGGAGCAUGUGGUUUAAUUCGAUGCAACGCGAAGAACCUUACCUACUCUUGACAUCCAGAGAACUUACCAGAGAUGCUUUGGUGCCUUCGGGAACUCUGAAACAGGUGCUGCAUGGCUGUCGUCACCUCGUGCCGA